Molecule: RNA transcript, 3267 nt
Organism: Amphibalanus amphitrite
Lineage: Eukaryota; Metazoa; Arthropoda; Thecostraca; Balanomorpha; Balanidae
Gene name: 1-acylglycerol-3-phosphate O-acyltransferase Pnpla3-like
Exons: 13
Source: RefSeq, a predicted model, not a curated record
UGGUGCGUAAAUCGGACCCGGCUGUCAGGCGGCAGUGGCGCGACUGCGACUGAGAAGAGUGGGCGCGGACGCAGUGUGAUUGAUAGCGAAGAUCCAGGGAAGUGAGGAUAACUGAUACCAAUCAACAUUUUCAGCAAGGUGGACGGAGCCCGACCACCCCCCGCCGCGGCCGCCAUGACGCUGGGCGGUGGUGACCAGCGCGUGGUGCGCCGCGCCGCCGUGGUGCAGUUCGCCGCCGGCUCGGAGCCGGGACCGAGCCGGCCGCGGCUGCCGCGUCGCCAGCUGCACUCGUCUGCCUCCCGACCAUCCGUGGCCGACAAACUGUCCCAGAUGAACCUCAGUUUCGCCGGCUGCGGCUUCCUCGGCGUGUACCACAUCGGCGUGGCGGCCUGCAUGAGCCGCUACUGCCCGGAGCUGCUGCAGAACCGGAUCGCGGGCGCGUCGGCCGGCGCCAUCGCGGCGGCCGCUCUCAUCUGUAACGCUAGUCUCAGUGAGAUCAUGUCGGAUCUGGUCGCCGUCUCGCGGGUCAUCCAGGACCACAUCGGCGGUCCGUUCAGCCCGUUCGUCUCGGUGCCAGUCAUGCUGCGCGCCGGCCUGCAGAAGAAUCUGCCGGAUAACGCCCACGAGUUGUGCUCGGGACGUCUCCACAUCUCGGUGACGCGUCUCGAGGACGGCAAAAACGCCAUCCUGUCUCACUUCGAGUCCAAGGAUGAGCUCAUCACGGCGCUGCUGUGCACUGCCUUCAUCCCGGCGUUCUCCGGCUGGCGGCCUCCGCGCUUCGACGGCGUCCGCUACAUGGACGGUUGCUAUAGCAACAACCUGCCGACGCUGGACAGCCGCACCAUCACUGUCAGCCCGUUCUGUGGCGAGGCGGACAUCUGCCCGCGCGACCGCACGCUCAGCCUCAUCGUGAUUGAUGCGGCUAACACGCGGAUCGAGCUGACGCCGGAGAACUUUAUGCGGGUGUUUAUGAUCAUGUACCCGCCGUCGCCCGAGACGCUCUCCGAUCUGGCCAAUCAGGGUUUCAACGACGCCAUCCGUUUUCUGAUGCGUCACGACCUGAUGAAGUGUCAGGUGUGCGUGAUGACAACAGAGAUUGUCGGCCGCGCCUACUCCAGCUGUGGGAGGCUCAUCCAGCACGUGCACUGCGACGACUGCUCGCACAAACAACAGGAGGCGAUGCUGGCCCGUCUACCGGACGCCGUUCACGAGCCGCUCCACCAGAACAUCCUCCGUCAGAGGAGCAUGCUGCGUAACUGGGUGCUCAACUUCCCGGGCGUGAGACACCUCAUGGUGCUGGCCGUGCCAUGGACGCUGCCCUUCGGCAUCAUCAGACAGAUCUACGACAGGCUGGUGCAGCGCAUCCCGCAGCUGGCCUUUGUGCUGGAGACUAUCGCCGGAGAGGUGAUCAGCGCCGUACACAGCGGCUUCAGCGCCCACCUGCCGCGCUCUCGGCAGGUGCACGCCCGCUACCUGUGCCGCCUGAACCUCACCGAGUACGGAGAGUCGGCUGGCCUGGAAGAGGGACAGACGCAGGUGCCGGACGUGCUCGACGACGGCGCCGACGCCUACAUUCCGGGCAUCGUGCGACGCUUUGACCGCGAGUUCCACGUGGAUUUCACCAACAGGGAGCACGGUCUCACGGUGUGCACCAGUACGGACGCCGAGCGUCUGGAGAGCGAGGUAAUGGCCGCCGGCAUCCAGGUGGUGGACCGACAGCCGGCGGAGGAGGACGCCGGGGCGCCCGUCGACCGCGAGCUGGUGCGCAUGGCUCUGGAGGCGCAGGGCUCGGCCGACUGCGGCGUCAGCUGGUACUACACCGACAAGGACGGCAACCUGUGCGUGCGCCACGUGUCGGCCGUACCCACACCCGUGGCCACGCCGUGUGUGUCGCGACGCGCCAGCAUUUGCGAGGACUCCGACUCGGUGGCUGCCGUACAGCUGCUGCGCCGCCGAGCCGCCGCCGCCGCCGCGCGCGACUCUGAUGACUCUGAGGACACGGAGUCCGAGUCGAUGGCAGAGGCGGAGAGGUUAGCCGCCGGGUCGGCCCACUGACCCGCCCCUAUCCCGCCCAGCAUGCGACUAACGGGGCCGGCGGGCUCGCCUCCUGCGCUAACACGCCGCGGGAGGAGAGCAUGACGUACGACGCCGGUAUGGGGGUGAUCAAGGAGGAGACCAACGACCCUCUGCCCGAGGACUAGGUCAUGGCGCAACCGCAUCUCGGGUACAGCGUGACUGCAGGGACACAGUGUCUUACCGCUCAAUACCGGACCGAUUUCAGUACUCAUCAGUGACAGAUCGUAUACGACAGUGUGUGGCUACCUCUGUUUGAAGCUAAUGUCCUACCUAUUAUAUUAUAUUCGUAGUGCGUCCCAGCAAAUGUGCCAUAUAUUGGCAUAAAUGCUGUGUACGCUAAAUUGUCUUACUUGAUUGACAUUUAAUCUGUGUGAAUUAGUGUAGUAUUUGAAGGCCUGCUGGAUGGGUCUUCUGAUCGCAAUGUCCAGAAGACUGACUUCCAGAGGCGCCUGAUGUGACCAGAGCUGACUGGACUUAAUGGGCUGGGCACCGCCCCCGAGUCAUCAGGUCGUUCGAUGGGGAUGAGGGAGGGAGGGGCAGGGAGGGGGGGGGGUUGCGGGGCUCCAGGCUCACCGGGGCAAGUAUUGUCAUGCAUAUCGAGUGUUCGUUGUCCAACAUGUGGGGUGAUCGUAUGGGCAUAAUGGUUAUGACGGGGUAGUAGCCAUUUGACGCUAUAUUACGUUAUUUUACAAUUUAACUACAGAUAGGCUAGCUGGGGCGAUUCAUGUGUAUCGGUUUCUGUGUUAUUUAUGUGACUUAUAGUUCUAGCUGCUACUGGUUCAGUGUGUAACGUGAUUGGUCACUGUAUAAUGCAUAUGUUUGGCCAGUGUCAUAUAUGACACCAUUGCGAUACUCCAUUUAAGCUAAGUUUCUGGGCUGCGUGAAUGCUUUUGCGCUCGACGUCUGUACUCCGUAACCGUAUUCUUGUUUGAUAGUACGAAGGCAUAAUUCGACUGGAAUCAGAAUAACUGCACAGAUGUUGUUGGACGUCAUAGCUUUAAGGCGCAAUGUGUGUUUGCAUUUUCUGACCUGUUUAAAAUAAAAUGUGCCUAGAAUUCGACUGAUGCGGUCUGUGCCUAAACGGGUAUCACAACUCGUCAACAUCACAACUUAAUCCCUGUGUUCUAUGUGUAUUUGGGUCCUGUGUUGUAUCCCAUGCCAUGCAGUAAAUACAUAAAUAAUUAAAUCAAA